CACUAAGAAGCUAAUUAGCGUUAACCUUUUAAGUUAAAGAUUAGAAGUUUAGACCUUCUCUCAGUGA
This 67-nucleotide transfer RNA is filed under the name Miniopterus fuliginosus (Japanese long-fingered bat). Its description in RNAcentral is "tRNA-Lys". It matches the Rfam family "tRNA". Rfam says of the family: Transfer RNA (tRNA) molecules are approximately 80 nucleotides in length. Their secondary structure includes four short double-helical elements and three loops (D, anti-codon, and T loops). The record is from RNAcentral. Lineage: Eukaryota; Metazoa; Chordata; Mammalia; Chiroptera; Miniopteridae.